Elaeis guineensis (African oil palm) is the source of this 632-nucleotide long non-coding RNA. RefSeq lists it as uncharacterized. NCBI's taxonomy places the organism in Eukaryota, Viridiplantae, Streptophyta, Magnoliopsida, Arecales, Arecaceae. The record is from RefSeq and is a predicted model, not a curated record.
UGGCCCAAUAAGUGGCUAUAAAAAAAAGAAAGAAGAGACGGCACCUCGAACUCUAAAGGUGGUUGUUGGUUCUCUGGAGCCUUGGAAGGUGGGUUGUGCAGGAUGGAGAAGCAGGGCACGUGUAUUUCUACUUAACAUCUCUCCUACACCAAGUUAGAGAGUUGGAUAGUUCUUCAUGUGCCCAUCUUCUCCACCAUGCCCUCCCCACCUAAUUUACUGCUAAGUGCGAGCAGUCGAUAUUGAAGAUUAGGAAGUUUUCAUCAAAAAAAAAAAAAAAGAUCAGAAAGAUUAGAUUUUUCGCCGCCGUUGGUAGUAACCAUGGUUUGAUAAGUGGAAGAUUACUCCUUUCGCUUCACGAAGUUGAAAAGCAACAAACUCAAGAGAAGAUCUGAUGUGUUUCGCAAGCUAAAUCAUAUUUUGAAGAACAACUAGCAUCAUCUAGUUAUUUCAUACCUAUAAACGGGUUGGUGAGUCUGUCUCAAGAUUUGGAUCGAGAAGAAACUUGUGACCUCAUUCAGACAAGCUGUUUUGAUACCAUAAGUAUUCAUUCACUACUUUACAUCUUUUACUCACUUUUACAGAAUUUCGAUGGUGUUGGGAUCUUAUAUCAUAUGCAUAAAUGGGUCUUACAA